GUGCUUGCUUUGGUAGCACAUAUACUAAAAUUGGAAUGAUACAGAGAAUAUUAGCAUGGCCCCUGUGCAAGGAUGACAUGCAAAUUCAUGAAGCAUUCCAUACUGUU
RNAcentral lists this small nuclear RNA (107 nucleotides) under Balaenoptera physalus (Fin whale). RNAcentral also lists the same sequence under 1 other name. The record is from RNAcentral. Lineage: Eukaryota; Metazoa; Chordata; Mammalia; Artiodactyla; Balaenopteridae.